RNAcentral lists this ribosomal RNA (598 nucleotides) under Wolbachia endosymbiont of Bemisia tabaci. RNAcentral's name for it is "bacterial SSU rRNA". It matches the Rfam family "Bacterial small subunit ribosomal RNA", at positions 218 to 833 of the family's 1533-position model. Lineage: Bacteria; Pseudomonadati; Pseudomonadota; Alphaproteobacteria; Rickettsiales; Anaplasmataceae. The record is from RNAcentral.
CUAUUAGAUGAGCCUAUAUUAGAUUAGCUAGUUGGUGGAGUAAUAGCCUACCAAGGCAAUGAUCUAUAGCUGAUCUGAGAGGAUGAUCAGCCACACUGGAACUGAGAUACGGUCCAGACUCCUACGGGAGGCAGCAGUGGGGAAUAUUGGACAAUGGGCGAAAGCCUGAUCCAGCCAUGCCGCAUGAGUGAAGAAGGCCUUUGGGUUGUAAAGCUCUUUUAGUGAGGAAGAUAAUGACGGUACUCACAGAAGAAGUCCUGGCUAACUCCGUGCCAGCAGCCGCGGUAAUACGGAGAGGGCUAGCGUUAUUCGGAAUUAUUGGGCGUAAAGGGCGCGUAGGCUGAUUAAUAAGUUAAAAGUGAAAUCCCGAGGCUUAACCUUGGAAUUGCUUUUAAAACUAUUAAUCUAGAGAUUGAAAGAGGAUAGAGGAAUUCCUGAUGUAGAGGUAAAAUUCGUAAAUAUUAGGAGGAACACCAGUGGCGAAGGCGUCUAUCUGGUUCAAAUCUGACGCUGAAGCGCGAAGGCGUGGGGAGCAAACAGGAUUAGAUACCCUGGUAGUCCACGCUGUAAACGAUGAAUGUUAAAUAUGGGAAGUUUA